GACGAACGCUGGCGGCGUGCUUAACACAUGCAAGUCGAACGGAAAGGCCCUGCUUUUGUGGGGUGCUCGAGUGGCGAACGGGGGAGUAACACGUGAGUAACCUGCCCUUGACUUUGGGAUAACUUCAGGAAACUGGGGCUAAUACCGGAUAGGAGCUCCUGCUGCAUGUGGGUGGUUGGAAAGUUUCGGCUGUUGGGGAUGGACUCGCGGCUUAUCAGCUUGUUGGUGGGGUAGUGGCUUACCAAGGCUUUGACGGGUAGCCGGCCUGAGAGGGUGACCGGCCACAUUGCGACUGAGAUACGGCCCAGACUCCUACGGGAGGCAGCAGUGGGGAAUAUUGCACAAUGGGCGGAAGCCUGAUGCAGCAACGCCGCGUGCGGGAUGACGGCCUUCGGGUUGUAAACCGCUUUCGCCUGUGACGAAGCGUGAGUGACGGUAAUGGGUAAAGAAGCACCGGCUAACUACGUG
RNAcentral lists this ribosomal RNA (468 nucleotides) under uncultured bacterium. Its description in RNAcentral is "partial 16S ribosomal RNA". It matches the Rfam family "Bacterial small subunit ribosomal RNA", at positions 28 to 507 of the family's 1533-position model. The record is from RNAcentral.